RNAcentral lists this ribosomal RNA (404 nucleotides) under Fusobacteriota bacterium. RNAcentral's name for it is "Fusobacteria bacterium partial 16S ribosomal RNA". It matches the Rfam family "Bacterial small subunit ribosomal RNA", at positions 355 to 776 of the family's 1533-position model. Lineage: Bacteria; Fusobacteriati; Fusobacteriota. The record is from RNAcentral.
UUAGGAAUUUUGCACAAUGGGCGAAAGCCUGAUGCAGCAACGCCGCGUGGAUGAUGAAGGCCUUCGGGUCGUAAAAUCCUUUUCAGAGGGAAGAAUCGGACGGUACCUCUGGAAUAAGCCUCGGCUAACUACGUGCCAGCAGCCGCGGUAAUACGUAGGAGGCGAGCGUUAUCCGGAUUUACUGGGCGUAAAGAGCGUGUAGGCGGUUUCGUAAGUUGGGCGUGAAAGCCCCCGGCUUAACUGGGGAGGGUCGUUCAAUACUGCGGGACUUGAGGGUGGAUGAGGAGACCAGAAUUCCCGGUGUAGUGGUGAAAUGCGUAGAUAUCGGGAGGAAUACCAGUGGCGAAGGCGGGUCUCUAGGCCACUCCUGGCGCUGAGACGCGAAAGCGUGGGGAGCGAACGGA